AUUGAACGCUGGCGGCAUGCCUUACACAUGCAAGUCGAACGGCAGCGGGGGAGAAGCUUGCUUUUCCUGCCGGCGAGUGGCGAACGGGUGAGUAAUACAUCGGAACGUGCCCUGUAGUGGGGGAUAACUAGUCGAAAGAUUAGCUAAUACCGCAUACGACCUGAGGGUGAAAGUGGGGGACCGCAAGGCCUCAUGCUAUAGGAGCGGCCGAUGUCUGAUUAGCUAGUUGGUGGGGUAAAGGCCUACCAAGGCGACGAUCAGUAGCUGGUCUGAGAGGACGAUCGGCCACACUGGGAGUGAGACACGGCCCAGACCCCUACGGGAGGCAGCAGUGGGGAAUUUUGGAAAAUGGGGGAAAGCCUGGUCCAGCACUGCCGCGGGUGUGAAGAAGGCCUUGGGGUUGUAAAGCACUUUUGUCCGGAAAGAAAUGGCUCUGGUUAAUACCUGGGGUCGAUGACGGUACCGGAAGAAUAAGGACCGGCUAACUGCGUGCCAGCCGCCGCCGUAA
Molecule: ribosomal RNA, 508 nt
Filed under: uncultured bacterium
Lineage: Bacteria
Description: partial 16S ribosomal RNA
Rfam family: Bacterial small subunit ribosomal RNA
Source: RNAcentral